UUUUAUGGUCGGGCGUGAUGGGAGAGCUUUGCUCUGCCGGUCCUCUAGCCGGUCUGUCAACCCGUCAUCGCCUGGCCACCAAA
RNAcentral lists this non-coding RNA (83 nucleotides) under Roseibium sp. TrichSKD4. Lineage: Bacteria; Pseudomonadati; Pseudomonadota; Alphaproteobacteria; Hyphomicrobiales; Stappiaceae. The record is from RNAcentral.